CAGCCGCCGCGGGAAAACGGAGGGGGCUAGCGUUGUUCGGAAUUACUGGGCGUAAAGCGCACGUAGGCGGCUUUGUAAGUUAGAGGUGAAAGCCCGGAGCUCAACUCCGGAAUUGCCUUUAAGACUGCAGAGCUAGCAGGUGAGAGAGGUGAGUGGAAUUCCGAGUGUAGAGGUGAAAUUCGUAGAUAUUCGGAAGAACACCAGUGGCGAAGGCGGCUCACUGGCUCAUACUGGACGCUGAGGUGCGAAAGCGUGGGGAGCAAACAGGAUUAGAUACCCCCGUAGUCCCUGUCUCUUAUAC
Molecule: ribosomal RNA, 301 nt
Filed under: uncultured bacterium
Lineage: Bacteria
Description: partial 16S ribosomal RNA
Rfam family: Bacterial small subunit ribosomal RNA
Source: RNAcentral